AGCAGCCGCGGUAAUUCCAGCUCCAAUAGCGUAUAUUAAAGUUGUUGCAGUUAAAAAGCUCGUAGUUGAAUUUCGGGAUUGACGUGAUGGUCGUGCCUUAAGGGGUAUGAACUGUUGCUGUUGAUUUCUCACCUUCUGGAGAAACUUGAUGUCCUUAAUUGGGUGUCUUGCGGAUCCAGGACCUUUACCUUGAAAAAAUUAGAGUGUUUAAAGCAGGCAUUUUGCUCGAAUACAUUAGCAUGGAAUAAUAGAAUAGGACGGCAUGGUUCUACUUUGUUGGUUUCUAGGAUCACCGUAAUGAUUAAUAGGGAUAGUUGGGGGCAUUAGUAUUCAAUUGUCAGAGGUGAAAUUCUUGGAUUUAUUGAAGACUAACUACUGCGAAAGCAUUUGCCAAGGAUGUUUUCAUUAAUCAAGAACGAAAGUUAGGGGAUCGAAGACGAUCAGGUACCGUCGUAGUCUUAACCAUAA
This 468-nucleotide ribosomal RNA is filed under the name uncultured Entrophospora. RNAcentral describes it as "SSU rRNA". It matches the Rfam family "Eukaryotic small subunit ribosomal RNA", at positions 569 to 1035 of the family's 1831-position model. Lineage: Eukaryota; Fungi; Glomeromycota; Glomeromycetes; Entrophosporales; Entrophosporaceae. The record is from RNAcentral.